Molecule: unclassified non-coding RNA, 307 nt
Filed under: plant metagenome
Description: partial contains 5.8S ribosomal RNA, internal transcribed spacer 2, and large subunit ribosomal RNA
Rfam family: 5.8S ribosomal RNA (bases 1-105)
Source: RNAcentral
GAAAUGCGAUAAGUAGUGUGAAUUGCAGAAUUCAGUGAAUCAUCGAAUCUUUGAACGCACAUUGCGCCCCUCGGCAUUCCGUGGGGCAUGCCUGUUCGAGCGUCAUCUACACCCUCAAGCUCUGCUUGGUGUUGGGCGUCUGUCCCGCCUCCGCGCGCGGACUCGCCCCAAAUGCAUUGGCAGCGGUUCCUUGCCCCCCUCUUUGCGCAGCACAUUGCCAUUCGAGGCGGCGGCGGCCCGCGUCCAACAAGCUCAACCCCCCCGUCGUUGACCUCGGAUCAGGUAGGGAUACCCGCUGAACUUAAGC